Molecule: ribosomal RNA, 254 nt
Filed under: uncultured bacterium
Lineage: Bacteria
Description: partial 16S ribosomal RNA
Rfam family: Bacterial small subunit ribosomal RNA
Source: RNAcentral
UACGUAGGGCGCAAGCGUUGUCCGGAAUUAUUGGGCGUAAAGAGCUCGUAGGCGGCUUGUCACGUCGGGUGUGAAAGCCCGGGGCUUAACCCCGGGUCUGCAUUCGAUACGGGCUAGCUAGAGUGUGGUAGGGGAGAUGGAAUUCCUGGUGUAGCGGUGAAAUGCGCAGAUAUCAGGAGGAACACCGGUGGCGAAGGCGGGAUCUCUGGGCCGAUUACUGACGCUGAGGAGCGAAAGCGUGGGGAGCGAACAGG